CCACCAUUUUCUACAGGUGCACCGGCGUGCGGUGUGGCCCUCGGCGUUGGUUGCGCCGCUCCGUCGCAACGGCAUUAGGGGCGAAGACCCGCUCGCGGCGACCAAGGUGUUGACGAGCAGGAACGCGCCCUUCCACUGGCCGAGCCGGCAAGCCGUGCACAAGCUGCGGGCGCGGCCGGCUGCGCUUCCUCCGUCUUCGCCUCGAACCAUGCCGCCCAGCGUCGGCACGGCCAAGGCCCGUGUCCAUAACAAGCUGGGCGCGCGGCGGGGUGGCUUCGGUGGGCGACAAGCGACAUCCAGAGGGCAUGUACAACGGUGAGCCGAUGCCGUCGUCUUACAUCGAACGCAGCAAAAUACGCAGUUCGUCAGCCGAUUGAAUGUGGAGAGAGAGCAGAGCCGUCGCCUCCUUCGUCGACAGCGGGGGCUCGUGCUCCGAUGGUCGACGGCACCGAGCACGCGUUGUAGCAGCGGAGGCGAGUCGUCGACGACCACCAGGAUCCCGUGCGCGGGCAGGGGCGCGCGCGCCGAAUCCAUUUUCGCGGCAAAAUCGAGCGCGCUUCCUUCUCCCUGUAUGCCCCUGCCCCCUUCCUUCUAGAUCCUGAAUCAUUUCCCACCCUAACAUGUGGCGCAGCGCAAACCCUAGCAUGGGAGGAUGAGAAAUUGGCGGCGGCUCGAGAGCGGAGAGCCGCUGCGGCGGCGACACGGAGAGGACGCUCGGCGCGGCGAAAGGAAGCGGCAGCGCCGGCUGGGAAGACCGGCGGCGGUGCUGCGGUGCCGGAGCAGUGGGGAUUGAGGCGUGCGGCGGCAGAGCACGAGGGAGCAGACACUACAACGCAUAGUGCCCUCCUCUGCACCUCCUCCAGGACGAGCAUACAUCCAAGAGGGACUCGCUGCGAGCACGACCGUGUACAGGUCAGCCAAAUUGCUUGAGUUCCCGACAAGGAGUCCAACUUUGGCAGACAUUGCAGUCCCAAGCUCCAGCGGCAAGGAGUCCAUCCGCGACGCCAGCAACCUGUUCGACCAAAUGCCAAAAAGCUAGGGAGUUGAAAUAGAAAAAGGCUUCACCUUUUUGCUCUUUUUUGUGGGAGAUUCAAGUUAUAAAGUCAGCCCUUGUGAAACAUGACGAGAAAACUAGUUAUAUAGUCAGCCUAUGUGCCGGAGCAGAACGGAGCGAGUGAAGUGGACAUGGUGCAGCUAAUCCUCCGAUUUCCUUCACCGACAGGAGCUGGUUCUUCGACGAUGCCGGCGGCUUCUUCGACAGCAGCUCGAUGUGACAAUGAUUUUUUGGUGUAAAAUCUAGGCAGUUGGUCUCAAUUUUUAUCACUAUGGCUCAAUUUACGGGACUUAGGGAGUAGGAACA
This is a long non-coding RNA of Panicum virgatum (switchgrass), 1360 nucleotides long. RefSeq lists it as uncharacterized. The transcript has 2 exons. Lineage: Eukaryota; Viridiplantae; Streptophyta; Magnoliopsida; Poales; Poaceae. The record is from RefSeq and is a predicted model, not a curated record.